RNAcentral lists this transfer RNA (73 nucleotides) under Diaphorina citri (Asian citrus psyllid). RNAcentral's name for it is "tRNA-Thr". It matches the Rfam family "tRNA". Rfam says of the family: Transfer RNA (tRNA) molecules are approximately 80 nucleotides in length. Their secondary structure includes four short double-helical elements and three loops (D, anti-codon, and T loops). Further hydrogen bonds mediate the characteristic L-shaped molecular structure. tRNAs have two regions of fundamental functional importance: the anti-codon, which is responsible for specific mRNA codon recognition, and the 3' end, to which the tRNAs corresponding amino acid is attached (by aminoacyl-tRNA synthetases). tRNAs cope with the degeneracy of the genetic code in two manners: having more than one tRNA (with a specific anti-codon) for a particular amino acid; and 'wobble' base-pairing, i.e. permitting non-standard base-pairing at the 3rd anti-codon position. The record is from Rfam by way of RNAcentral. Lineage: Eukaryota; Metazoa; Arthropoda; Insecta; Hemiptera; Psyllidae.
GCCUAGUUAGCUUAGUUGGUAGAGCGUCUGCCUUGUAAGCGCUAGGUCGCGGGUUCGAUUCCCGCCCGGGGCG